Molecule: long non-coding RNA, 728 nt
Organism: Betta splendens (Siamese fighting fish)
Lineage: Eukaryota; Metazoa; Chordata; Actinopteri; Anabantiformes; Osphronemidae
Exons: 2
Source: RefSeq, a predicted model, not a curated record
UUAGGUAUCUUUCAUAUUAUAGGCGGGAUGCCGACGAGUAGGAAAAGAGAAGAAAACGGAGCUAUAAAAACACAAAGGUGGUAAAACUCGCUGAAUUCCUGCUUACUGUUGUAUAGUUUAUUGAAAGGAAGAGCGAGUCGCAUUAACUCUGAGGUUUAGUUAAUCAGCAGGUACUGUAGCUAGUGUACGGCUAUGCUAACUGAACUAGCAUGACGAGAGGAGACUGAGCUAGCGAGGCCACUGCUACAGGUCUGCGCGGCUUCGGCCACUGACUCUCGGCCGCUCCUGGACGUCGCCGCACGUGAAGAGAGACGUGGACGCGUUUCACUGAUCAGGCGUGUCCGUGUCGGGACACGGCGUCACAAAGUCCGAGGAGCCCUGAGUGCUGAGCUCUUUGACGUGGAUUCAUCAUCUGAAGUUGUUCUGAUCCUCCAGCUUGAAGGAUGUCCCAAAGCCUCUUACAUUGCUUAGAGGAUUGACGAGCAAAGAGCGAUGUUCGUAGAGAAAUGGGCAAAGAUGUACAAGACCAUGUUUUGUUGGAGUCUUUUUCUGACACACUCCUUUAUAGGAAACCCUUUUGUGAUAUGUCUGAUCUAAAAUUGCAUCACAACAACGGCAAGAAGCACAAUGUGUACGUCCUAAUACAGAUGAUACCUCGUAUCCAGGAUUGUUUUCUGAGUUUCCUCUGUCUUCCAAUGUUUCUUGCCAUAAAGCAGGUUAUGACUCGU